This 497-nucleotide ribosomal RNA is filed under the name uncultured bacterium. RNAcentral describes it as "partial 16S ribosomal RNA". It matches the Rfam family "Bacterial small subunit ribosomal RNA", at positions 28 to 507 of the family's 1533-position model. The record is from RNAcentral.
GACGAACGCUGGCGGCGUGCCUAAUACAUGCCAGUCGAGCGCUGAAGCUUGGUACUUGUACCAACUGGAUGAGCAGCGAACGGGUGAGUAACGCGUGGAGAAUCUGCCUUUGAUCGGGGGACAAUAUUGGGAAACGAAUGCUAAUACCGCAUAAAAACUUUAAACACAAGUGUUAAGUGUGAAAGAUGCAAUUGCAUCACUCAAAGAUGAUCCCGCGUUGUAUUAGUUAGUUGGUGAGGUAAAGGCUCACCAAGGCGUUGAUACAUAGCCGACCUGACAGGGUGAGCCGCCACAUUGGGACUGAGACACGGCCCAAACUGCUACGGGAAGGAGCAGUAGGGGAACUUCGGCCAUGGACGGAAAGCUGACCGCACAAAGCCGCGGGAGUGAAGAAAGUUUUCGGGUCGGAAAAGUCUGUUUGUAGGGAAGAACGUGGGUGAGAGUGGAAAGCUCAUCAAGUGACGGUAACUACCCAAAAAGCAACGGCUAACUACGUG